Molecule: ribosomal RNA, 484 nt
Filed under: uncultured bacterium
Lineage: Bacteria
Description: bacterial SSU rRNA
Rfam family: Bacterial small subunit ribosomal RNA
Source: RNAcentral
CUACGUGCCAGCAGCCGCGGUAAUACGUAGGUCCCGAGCGUUGUCCGGAUUUAUUGGGCGUAAAGCGAGCGCAGGCGGUUAGAUAAGUCUGAAGUUAAAGGCUGUGGCUUAACCAUAGUACGCUUUGGAAACUGUUUAACUUGAGUGCAAGAGGGGAGAGUGGAAUUCCAUGUGUAGCGGUGAAAUGCGUAGAUAUUUGUAGGAAUGCCGAUGGGGAAGCCAGCUUACUGGACAGAUACUGACGCUGAAGCGCGAAAGCGUGGGUAGCAAACAGGAUUAGAUACCCUGGUAGUCCACGCCGUAAACGAUGAUUACUAGGUGUUGGGGGUCGAACCUCAGCGCCCAAGCAAACGCGAUAAGUAAUCCGCCUGGGGAGUACGUACGCAAGUAUGAAACUCAAAGGAAUUGACGGGGACCCGCACAAGCGGUGGAGCAUGUGGUUUAAUUCGACGCAACGCGAGGAACCUUACCAGCGUUUGACAUC